RNAcentral lists this long non-coding RNA (497 nucleotides) under Nicotiana benthamiana. Its description in RNAcentral is "long non-coding RNA (NBEN_LNC033694)". Lineage: Eukaryota; Viridiplantae; Streptophyta; Magnoliopsida; Solanales; Solanaceae. The record is from RNAcentral.
UUUCCAUGGAGACAAACCCCUCCGGCGGAAACGUUCCCUUUGUCACUAUAGACUGAACUCGCUGUGAACCUUUUCGAUUAUUAGUAGCGGCUCGUGAAGUAGCCCUCUUUCUUUACAAAAAAAGGAUACAUGCCCCUUUACUUGAUAUUAUAUUAGUAAAGUCAAGCCUAAAGGCCCUUUACUAAUAUAAUAGAAGGUAAGGCAGUCAAGCCCUAUCUAAGUAAAGCUACGGCUCCUUGGUGGGAAUGAAAAGGCGGUACCCCUAUCACAACAAGGCAAGUUCAGUUGGCGGACCACUUUUUGCCGGGGGAGGAAUCGUUUUUGUAGUAAAAAAAGCUUAUGCACCUAGCUCGCUGGAAGCUAAGAGUCUUAUAGCCCAAAAACGGGAAUAGAGGUUUUAGUAGUUCCUUACUUAAUACACUAAUCUAUUUAUAGUCAAGCAAGCCUUUCACCUGGCUAACACAGAAAAAAGCACCAGCUGGGCCUCUCUCUUUGUU